AGUAAAUUGGCUGAAAUAUAAGCAAUAAAUUGUAAAUUUAUUUAUAAGAGAUAUCUCUUAUUUACUA
This 67-nucleotide transfer RNA is filed under the name Limnephilus hyalinus. RNAcentral describes it as "tRNA-Tyr". The record is from RNAcentral. Lineage: Eukaryota; Metazoa; Arthropoda; Insecta; Trichoptera; Limnephilidae.